This is a non-coding RNA of Macaca mulatta (Rhesus monkey), 1138 nucleotides long. NCBI's taxonomy places the organism in Eukaryota, Metazoa, Chordata, Mammalia, Primates, Cercopithecidae. The record is from the annotation of a RefSeq genome assembly.
UGGGGCAGCCCUGUUGGGCACGUGUGACUGGGGGAAUGGAGAAGGCUAGGGCAUGAAAGGGGAUGGGAUGGCAGAGGGGACCCUGACUUGGAGGAAAGACAAUGAGCUCACCCCUUUGUGCCCUAUGUUGGGGACAGUGUUGGCGCAUCCUACAGGACAUGCCCAGCAGACAGAGGAGCGGCUGUGGGAUGAGAAGAUGAACUCAGAGAUGCAGUGUGAGGCCUCCGGGUACAGAAAGCUCUGGAGUCCAAAGCGAUGAGCCAUGCAUUGAUGUUAAAAAAGAAGGUUAUAAAUAUUUAAGGCAGCACUCAAGUGUGUUCUAACAUAAAUGCUGUGAUCCUGAGGUCCUGGGGAUUGAGAGAGGAAGUGAUGUCACUGUGGGAACUGCCCUGUGGGGACAAGGACGUCCAUCAUCCUCUGCUCCUGCUCACAGUGACACUGAUCUGGUAACGCCCCCGUCCUGGCCUGACCCUGCCAUGGGCACCAGGCUCCUCUGCUGGGUGGUCCUGGGUUUCCUAGGGACAGAUCACACAGGUGCUGGAGUCUCGCAGUCCCCAAGAUACAAAGUCACGAAGAGGGGCCAGGAUGUAGCUCUCAGGUGUGAUCCAAUUUCCGGUCAUGAUUACCUUUACUGGUACCAACAGGCCCUGGGGCAGGGCCCAGCGUUUCUGACUUACUUCCAGGAUGAUGCUCAACGAGACAAAUCAGGGCUGCCCAAUGAUCGGUUCUCUGCAGAGAGGACUGAGGGAUCCGUCUCCACUCUGAAGAUCCAGCGCACAGAGCAGGGGGACUCGGCCGUGUAUCUCUGUGCCAGCAGCUUAGCCACAGCGUGGCACAGUCACCUCCUUCCUGUUCACAAACCUCAUCCUUCUCUCUCCUUGCAGCUACUAGAGACCCUUAGCAGAGGCCUCUCUUUCUCCUCAUUUUUCAUGGGAAAGGAGUAGAUUUGGACAUCGGCUGUCCUUUGGGUAGAAAGAGACCACAGAUUCAUUCGUGAAACACAGUGACUGCAAAUGUAGGUGGUGAAAACAAUCACGGCCCGCUGCACUCUAGGAGUCCUCGGAACCAGCUCACUUCUUCAAGCAAGGAGUGGGUGUCUUAGCCUCGGCCUUCAGGGCAGACAUGCAUCUUCUAUAGG